Molecule: ribosomal RNA, 580 nt
Filed under: Trichoderma viride
Lineage: Eukaryota; Fungi; Ascomycota; Sordariomycetes; Hypocreales; Hypocreaceae
Description: eukaryotic LSU rRNA
Rfam family: 5.8S ribosomal RNA (bases 195-348)
Source: RNAcentral
UUUCAACUCCCAAACCCAAUGUGAACGUUACCAAACUGUUGCCUCGGCGGGAUCUCUGCCCCGGGUGCGUCGCAGCCCCGGACCAAGGCGCCCGCCGGAGGACCAACCAAAACUCUUAUUGUAUACCCCCUCGCGGGUUUUUUACUAUCUGAGCCAUCUCGGCGCCCCUCGUGGGCGUUUCGAAAAUGAAUCAAAACUUUCAACAACGGAUCUCUUGGUUCUGGCAUCGAUGAAGAACGCAGCGAAAUGCGAUAAGUAAUGUGAAUUGCAGAAUUCAGUGAAUCAUCGAAUCUUUGAACGCACAUUGCGCCCGCCAGUAUUCUGGCGGGCAUGCCUGUCCGAGCGUCAUUUCAACCCUCGAACCCCUCCGGGGGGUCGGCGUUGGGGAUCGGCCCUUUACGGGGCCGGCCCCGAAAUACAGUGGCGGUCUCGCCGCAGCCUCUCCUGCGCAGUAGUUUGCACACUCGCAUCGGGAGCGCGGCGCGUCCACAGCCGUUAAACACCCCAAACUUCUGAAAUGUUGACCUCGGAUCAGGUAGGAAUACCCGCUGAACUUAAGCAUAUCAAUAGGCAGGAGGAA